RNAcentral lists this ribosomal RNA (162 nucleotides) under Skeletonema sp. RCC4819. RNAcentral describes it as "partial 18S ribosomal RNA". It matches the Rfam family "Eukaryotic small subunit ribosomal RNA", at positions 1670 to 1831 of the family's 1831-position model. Lineage: Eukaryota; Bacillariophyta; Thalassiosirophyceae; Thalassiosirales; Thalassiosiraceae. The record is from RNAcentral.
CGCCCGUCGCACCUACCGAUUGAAUGGUCCGGUGAAGACUCGAGAUUUUGGUCUAGCUCCUUUAUUGGGGCUUGACCGCGAGAACCUGUCUAAACCUUAUCAUUUAGAGGAAGGUGAAGUCGUAACAAGGUUUCCGUAGGUGAACCUGCGGAAGGAUCAUUA